AGUAACCCCAGAGUGCAGUCUGGACGAUGGGGCGGGGCGACACUUCGAGGCGGAGCGACACGUGUCGCCCCGCCCAUAUUUGUUUUCCCCGCCUUUGACAUUUUCCUCCGAGCCAGCAGGGGGCAGUUUGCGUUGAAACAAACAGAACAGUGGCAACUACAGCAGCAGAGUAAUAACGCUAUUCCGUUGAUUGCUUGAGGUGAGUAAAAGUGGUUGUGUAAAUAUCUUAUAAUAUGAAAUGCGAUGUUCGAUCAUUUAUUUGUCCAUGGUACGUUCAAUUUGAAUAAUUAUUGUUAAUAAUUGUUAUAAAUUGCUAAUUUUAUUGUUCUUUGUGGAUUGUAACAGUACACUCUGCACAUGGCUUUAGUUCAUAUGUUCGAUUUUACACAGGUAUGGCAUCACAUUUGUCAAGUUAUUUGAACAGACAUGCAUGAUUUUUGUGUGUAUAUUAUUAUUAUUAUUAUUAUUAUUUUUCAGGAUGACAUGAUCAGGAGGUGGUGGUGUUCUGUUCUCCUGGACAGCUUCACUCCGCAAAUGUAUGUAGCUGUUUGAAUGUUGCUACAUGAAACAUUACUCUGUACUAUAUCUAGCAAUAUACCUACCUCUUGACAUUUGUUCUUUUAGAGCUCAACCACUGAGGGGAGGAACUUCACCAUUCACCAUGUCUUCAGGCAGAGUCCAGCAAAGCAGAUGGUUUAGGGAUGUGCUCCGAAGUUUUUCGGAAAGCGGCACAGUUUGCCUGGCUAGACAUUGUGGCCAACUGGAAGAAUUGUCCUCCUGUCUCCUGACCGGAACAAGUUCAGACGGAUGUACAGCAUCAGGGAAUGCUUGCAGUGCAGAGCACUUUUCAAGUUUAACCCACCAGGGUACAGGGAAGAGACCGGCGUGGUGAUCUUCUGGGCUUUUGUUUACACAGGAUUUUGUUCCAAGGACUGUUUUUUUUUUUUUUUUGCGGCAUGAAACACAUUUGUGUGUUAAGUUCAUUGAAGGGAAAUAGAGAAUGGGCUGAGAUCAACUGGUUUUGAUGUAUUAAUUGAUGUCAUUUAAAGUUCAACUUUGCAGUGUAUAAUGUUUUAAUAAAAAAGCUAUGGCAAACAUGUGCAUGACAACAGGUUUCAGUCAUUUACAUCAGUCUAUCAUUCUUUAAGGUUUCUCAUAUUUGAUGAUAACAUCAUUUGCUAUGCAUUGCUCAUAAUGGAUUCUUAAUUUAGUUGUGACAGGAUUGUGAGGAUUAAUGAGGUUUUCAGUAGUGCAGUUCAGAAAACAAAUAACAGAAAGUAACAAGUGUUUUUGGGCAAGUUCUUUAGAACCUGUAUAGUUCCUUCCUUGCAAAAAGUAACCAUGGAUUUAUUGUAGUAAAAAUAUUUGUUGGCAUAUUAAUUACUGUGAGCUGUAAUUAUAAAAACACCAUAGUUUUACUAUAGUUACUGUAGCAGAACCAUGGUAAAUUUUCGUAGGGGCCAAGGGAAUGUUCAGAAUAUUAUUGGUGACGUUCAGAGACUGGUGACAAUUUGUUACACACACGACGCACACACACACACACACAUAUAUGUAUGUAUAUAUAUAUAUAUAUAUGUAUGUAUAUAUAAUUUGAAUAUAUAAAUCAAGGUACUCCAUGACUAUCUACAUAACCAUACUUCGCAUAAUAUUGCCGUGUCAUUUUCAAACCAGCGAGUAAUGCCGAGGUAGCGUCUACACUACAGCCAUUGAGGGAGUAGACCAUUUAUUUCUAUUC
Carassius gibelio (silver crucian carp) is the source of this 1735-nucleotide long non-coding RNA. RefSeq lists it as uncharacterized. The transcript has 3 exons. The record is from RefSeq and is a predicted model, not a curated record. Lineage: Eukaryota; Metazoa; Chordata; Actinopteri; Cypriniformes; Cyprinidae.